Molecule: ribosomal RNA, 773 nt
Filed under: uncultured bacterium
Lineage: Bacteria
Description: bacterial SSU rRNA
Rfam family: Bacterial small subunit ribosomal RNA
Source: RNAcentral
AGAGUUUGAUCAUGGCUCAGGACGAACGCUGGCGGCGUGCUUAACACAUGCAAGUCGAACGGAAAGGCCCUUCGGGGUACUCGAGUGGCGGACGGGUGAGUAACACGUGGGUGAUCUGCCCUGCACUCUGGGAUAAGCCUGGGAAACUGGGUCUAAUACCGGAUAGGACCGCAUGCUUCAUGGUGUGUGGUGCAAAGCUUUUGCGGUGUGGGAUGAGCCCGCGGCCUAUCAGCUUGUUGGUGGGGUAAUGGCCUACCAAGGCGACGACGGGUAGCCGGCCUGAGAGGGUGACCGGCCACACUGGGACUGAGAUACGGCCCAGACUCCUUCGGGAGGCAGCAGUGGGGAAUAUUGCACAAUGGGCGCAAGCCUGAUGCAGCGACGCCGCGUGAGGGAUGACGGCCUUCGGGUUGUAAACCUCUUUCAAUAGGGACGAAGCGCAAGUGACGGUACCUAUAGAAGAAGCACCGGCCAACUACGUGCCAGCAGCCGCGGUAAUACGUAGGGUGCGAGCGUUGUCCGGAAUUACUGGGCGUAAAGAGCUCGUAGGUGGUUUGUCGCGUUGUUCGUGAAAACUCACAGCUUAACUGUGGGCGUGCGGGCGAUACGGGCAGACUAGAGUACUGCAGGGGAGACUGGAAUUCCUGGUGUAGCGGUGGAAUGCGCAGAUAUCAGGAGGAACACCGGUGGCGAAGGCGGGUCUCUGGGCAGUAACUGACGCUGAGGAGCGAAAGCGUGGGGAGCGAACAGGAUUAGAUACCCCGGUAGUCCAA